This 379-nucleotide long non-coding RNA is filed under the name Lathyrus oleraceus (garden pea). Its description in RNAcentral is "Pisum sativum (pea) long non-coding RNA (PSAT_LNC013187)". The record is from RNAcentral. Lineage: Eukaryota; Viridiplantae; Streptophyta; Magnoliopsida; Fabales; Fabaceae.
ACUCUUUUUAAUUAGCAAAAUUAUUCGAUUAAAUUGGUUAAAUCAAUUAAUUAGGCUAAUUAGAGUUAAUUAUCAAGAAUAUUUAAUUAAAAAUUAAUUCAAUUGAUUAAUCAAGUUAAUUAAAUUUAAUUAGCAAAAGUAACUAAAAUAAUAUUUAAUCAAUUAAUUUUUACUAACUAAAAUAAAUAAAUAAAGAUUAAUUGAGUUUUUGAAAAUAAAAUUAAAAUUAAAAUAGAUUUGAAAAAAUAAAAGGAAAGAAAUGGGGGUAGAAGUGCAAUAGAGAAAAAAUAAGCUAGCAAAAAUAAAAGAAAUGUUGUCAAAAGGGUGACCCAAGGCCCACACAAAAAAUAGUAAAAAGAAUAAGGAAAAGCAAAAUGGG